RNAcentral lists this ribosomal RNA (275 nucleotides) under uncultured prokaryote. RNAcentral describes it as "partial 16S ribosomal RNA". It matches the Rfam family "Bacterial small subunit ribosomal RNA", at positions 524 to 798 of the family's 1533-position model. The record is from RNAcentral.
UACGUAGGGGCUAGCGUUAUCCGGAUUUACUGGGCGUAAAGGGUGCGUAGGCGGUCUUUCAAGUCAGGAGUGGAAAGGCUACGGCUCAACCGUAGUAAGCUCUUGAAACUGUAAGACUUGAGUGCAGGAGAGGAGAGUGGAAUUCCUAGUGUAGCGGUGAAAUGCGUAGAUAUUAGGAGGAACACCAGUUGCGAAGGCGGCUCUCUUGGACUGUAACUGACGCUGAGGCACGAAAGCGUGGGGAGCAAACAGGAUUAGAUACCCGUGUAGUCCCU